GGGUUCCACCGUUGGUCGGGCAAUUGUCUGUACUGGCGUGUGGAAUUUCUACCUUCUGGGGAACCAUCAUGUUAUUAAUUUAGUGUGGUGGGAAACCAGGACCUUUACCUUGAAAAAAUUAGAGUGUUCAAAGCAGGCUUACGUCUGAAUACAUUAGCAUGGAAUAAUAAAAUAGGACGGUGGUCCUGUUUUGUUGGUUUCUGAAUCACCGUA
This 213-nucleotide ribosomal RNA is filed under the name uncultured Gigaspora. RNAcentral describes it as "partial small subunit ribosomal RNA". The stretch from base 44 to 213 matches the Rfam family "Eukaryotic small subunit ribosomal RNA", at positions 691 to 863 of the family's 1831-position model. Lineage: Eukaryota; Fungi; Glomeromycota; Glomeromycetes; Diversisporales; Gigasporaceae. The record is from RNAcentral.